RNAcentral lists this ribosomal RNA (636 nucleotides) under uncultured bacterium. RNAcentral describes it as "bacterial SSU rRNA". It matches the Rfam family "Bacterial small subunit ribosomal RNA", at positions 234 to 885 of the family's 1533-position model. The record is from RNAcentral.
CGCGGCCUAUCAGCUUGUUGGUGAGGUAACGGCUCACCAAGGCGAAGAUGCCUAGCUGGUGUGAGAGCAUGACCAGCGCCACUGGGACUGAGACACUGCCCAGACUCCUACGGGAGGCUGCAGUCGAGAAUCUUCCGCAAUGGACGAAAGUCUGACGGAGCGACGCCGCGUGCGGGACGAAGGCCUUCGGGUUGUAAACCGCUGUCAGGGGGGAACAAACAAUGAGUGAUCCCCAAAGGAAGCGCGGGCUAAGUUCGUGCCAGCAGCCGCGGCAAGACGAACCGUGCGAACGUUGUUCGGAAUCACUGGGCUUAAAGGGCGCGUAGGCGGGCAGCCAAGUCAGCGGUGAAAUCCUCCGGCUCAACCGGAGAAGUGCCCCUGAUACCGGCUGCCUCGAGGGAGGUAGGGGCAGAUGGAACUUCCUGUGGAGCGGUGAAAUGUGUAGAUACAGGAAGGAACGCCGGUGGCGAAAGCGAUCUGCUGGACCUCUUCUGACGCUGAGGCGCGAAAGCUAGGGGAGCGAAGAGGAUUAGAUACCCUCGUAGUCCUAGCCUUAAACGAUGGGCACUGAGUAGUGGGCAUGCAUGGGCUCACUGCUGUAGCAAAAGUGGUAAGUGCCCCGCCUGGGGAGUACGG